Molecule: ribosomal RNA, 434 nt
Filed under: uncultured Clostridium sp.
Lineage: Bacteria; Bacillati; Bacillota; Clostridia; Eubacteriales; Clostridiaceae
Description: partial 16S ribosomal RNA
Rfam family: Bacterial small subunit ribosomal RNA
Source: RNAcentral
ACGGGAGGCAGCAGUGGGGAAUAUUGCACAAUGGGCGAAAGCCUGAUGCAGCGACGCCGCGUGAGUGAAGAAGUAUUUCGGUAUGUAAAGCUCUAUCAGCAGGAAAGAAAAUGACGGUACCUGACUAAGAAGCCCCGGCUAACCACGUGCCAGCAGCCGCGGUAAUACGUAGGGGGCAAGCGUUAUCCGGAUUUACUGGGUGUAAAGGGAGCGUAGACGGUUUUGCAAGUCUGAAGUGAAAUGCCGGGGCUCAACCCCGGAACUGCUUUGGAAACUGUAGGACUAGAGUGCAGGAGAGGUAAGUGGAAUUCCUAGUGUAGCGGUGAAAUGCGUAGAUAUUAGGAGGAACACCAGUGGCGAAGGCGAUCUACUGGACGAUAACUGACGCUGAGGCGCGAAAGCGUGGGGAGCAAACAGGAUUAGAUACCCUGGUA